Molecule: ribosomal RNA, 1402 nt
Filed under: Staphylococcus aureus
Lineage: Bacteria; Bacillati; Bacillota; Bacilli; Caryophanales; Staphylococcaceae
Also listed under: 1 other name
Description: bacterial SSU rRNA
Rfam family: Bacterial small subunit ribosomal RNA
Source: RNAcentral
ACUUCGGGAAACCGGAGCUAAUACCGGAUAAUAUUUUGAACCGCAUGGUUCAAAAGUGAAAGACGGUCUUGCUGUCACUUAUAGAUGGAUCCGCGCUGCAUUAGCUAGUUGGUAAGGUAACGGCUUACCAAGGCAACGAUGCAUAGCCGACCUGAGAGGGUGAUCGGCCACACUGGAACUGAGACACGGUCCAGACUCCUACGGGAGGCAGCAGUAGGGAAUCUUCCGCAAUGGGCGAAAGCCUGACGGAGCAACGCCGCGUGAGUGAUGAAGGUCUUCGGAUCGUAAAACUCUGUUAUUAGGGAAGAACAUAUGUGUAAGUAACUGUGCACAUCUUGACGGUACCUAAUCAGAAAGCCACGGCUAACUACGUGCCAGCAGCCGCGGUAAUACGUAGGUGGCAAGCGUUAUCCGGAAUUAUUGGGCGUAAAGCGCGCGUAGGCGGUUUUUUAAGUCUGAUGUGAAAGCCCACGGCUCAACCGUGGAGGGUCAUUGGAAACUGGAAAACUUGAGUGCAGAAGAGGAAAGUGGAAUUCCAUGUGUAGCGGUGAAAUGCGCAGAGAUAUGGAGGAACACCAGUGGCGAAGGCGACUUUCUGGUCUGUAACUGACGCUGAUGUGCGAAAGCGUGGGGAUCAAACAGGAUUAGAUACCCUGGUAGUCCACGCCGUAAACGAUGAGUGCUAAGUGUUAGGGGGUUUCCGCCCCUUAGUGCUGCAGCUAACGCAUUAAGCACUCCGCCUGGGGAGUACGACCGCAAGGUUGAAACUCAAAGGAAUUGACGGGGACCCGCACAAGCGGUGGAGCAUGUGGUUUAAUUCGAAGCAACGCGAAGAACCUUACCAAAUCUUGACAUCCUUUGACAACUCUAGAGAUAGAGCCUUCCCCUUCGGGGGACAAAGUGACAGGUGGUGCAUGGUUGUCGUCAGCUCGUGUCGUGAGAUGUUGGGUUAAGUCCCGCAACGAGCGCAACCCUUAAGCUUAGUUGCCAUCAUUAAGUUGGGCACUCUAAGUUGACUGCCGGUGACAAACCGGAGGAAGGUGGGGAUGACGUCAAAUCAUCAUGCCCCUUAUGAUUUGGGCUACACACGUGCUACAAUGGACAAUACAAAGGGCAGCGAAACCGCGAGGUCAAGCAAAUCCCAUAAAGUUGUUCUCAGUUCGGAUUGUAGUCUGCAACUCGACUACAUGAAGCUGGAAUCGCUAGUAAUCGUAGAUCAGCAUGCUACGGUGAAUACGUUCCCGGGUCUUGUACACACCGCCCGUCACACCACGAGAGUUUGUAACACCCGAAGCCGGUGGAGUAACCUUUUAGGAGCUAGCCGUCGAAGGUGGGACAAAUGAUUGGGGUGAAGUCGUAACAAGGUAGCCGUAUCGGAAGGUGCGGCUGGAUCACCUCCUUU